UCCGGAUCCGUNCGACAGAGUUUGAUCGUGGCUCAGAACGAACGCUGGCGGCAGGCUUAACACAUGCAAGUCGAACGCCCCGCAAGGGGAGUGGCAGACGGGUGAGUAACGCGUGGGAACAUACCCUUUCCUGCGGAAUAGCUCCGGGAAACUGGAAUUAAUACCGCAUACGCCCUACGGGGGAAAGAUUUAUCGGGGAAGGAUUGGCCCGCGUUGGAUUAGCUAGUUGGUGGGGUAAAGGCCUACCAAGGCGACGAUCCAUAGCUGGUCUGAGAGGAUGAUCAGCCACAUUGGGACUGAGACACGGCCCAAACUCCUACGGGAGGCAGCAGUGGGGAAUAUUGGACAAUGGGCGCAAGCCUGAUCCAGCCAUGCCGCGUGAGUGAUGAAGGCCUUAGGGUUGUAAAGCUCUUUCACCGAUGAAGAUAAUGACGUAUCGAGAAGAG
Molecule: ribosomal RNA, 446 nt
Filed under: Agrobacterium tumefaciens
Lineage: Bacteria; Pseudomonadati; Pseudomonadota; Alphaproteobacteria; Hyphomicrobiales; Rhizobiaceae
Description: bacterial SSU rRNA
Rfam family: Bacterial small subunit ribosomal RNA
Source: RNAcentral